CUAGUCUCAGCUGAAUUUGAGAACUGAACCUUAAGUUUUGUCUCUCCAAGCAUUUUUUCUUCCUCAAUGGGUACUCAGAAACGAGUUGUUCGUCCAGAAAUGAAUUACUUGCUUUGUAUAUGCGGAAAAGAGAAACCAGAAAUAGUUGCUUCUGAAUGGAUUGUAGAAGAUAUCGAUAUGACGACGCUUUCAAAGCUUAUGCCAGUGUCUGCAACUCCAAAACUCCUAUCAAAACCCUUAAGGACUUCUCUCAGAUCAAGUACGGUUAGGGAUUUACAGCAUACGAAUUUCUCUGCAGGGGUUUUCCAGACGGACUCGGGUGCUUCUAAAGCUGAAUCUGAAAACGUGACAGAGAAAGAAAAAAGGAGAGGAAAAUUUUCCAGGUUUGGGAGUUUGCUGAAGGAGUGAUAUAAUUGAUGGAGUUACAUCACAACAUCGAUAGCGAAUGGUUUAGUUGAGAUAUCAUAGUUGUCCAGCAAAGGGCUGCUUGAUGAACAGUUUCAGCAGUGAUAUCUUCACCCACAGGAAACUGAAGAGGAGGAAGCAAAUCAGUGGGGAAGAAGUUGCAGUUCAGGGUUCCUUCACAAGUAACUGUUUUCUGGGUAACAACUUGCUUUUGGAUCCUAUCUCCAUUGACAGGCAACUGGUGAGGAGGAAGAAAAUCAGAAGGAAAGAAGUUGUAGAGAAGAUUGGACAUUGGUUCUCAGAUGAAACUUGGGAAGAAGGAAAUGGUAGGUUGAAGCAGAGAACUUAGGAGGAAGAGGAAGAGGAGACUCUGAAUUGUUUAGACCUUCAAGUUGGUCUAUUUAAAGAGAGAGAAAGUGUCAUGGCGUUGGCUUGUAGUUAGUUUCAUCGACGGUUGUGGAGAGACGAUGGAAUUGGAACCUUUAGAGAGAGAGAGAGAGAGAGAGAGUAUGGCGUAUGCUGAUGCCAUCUAGAAAGUAGGAAAGUCUUGCUGAUACGCUGUCAGAGGGACGGCAGUGUGAGAAAGCAUAUUGAGAAUUGCAAUGGGAUCCCACAGUUCAUGAGC
Macadamia integrifolia is the source of this 1030-nucleotide RNA transcript. RefSeq lists it as uncharacterized. NCBI's taxonomy places the organism in Eukaryota, Viridiplantae, Streptophyta, Magnoliopsida, Proteales, Proteaceae. The transcript is spliced from 3 exons. The record is from RefSeq and is a predicted model, not a curated record.